ACCCGUGUGGCGCAGCGGUAAGCGCGCAGUCUGAAAAAGGCUGAGGUGAUGGGUUCGACUCCUAUUACGGGUACCA
This 76-nucleotide transfer RNA is filed under the name Chloroflexota bacterium. Its description in RNAcentral is "Chloroflexi bacterium (rhizosphere metagenome) tRNA-Phe". It matches the Rfam family "tRNA". From Rfam's summary of the family: Transfer RNA (tRNA) molecules are approximately 80 nucleotides in length. Their secondary structure includes four short double-helical elements and three loops (D, anti-codon, and T loops). Lineage: Bacteria; Bacillati; Chloroflexota. The record is from RNAcentral.